RNAcentral lists this ribosomal RNA (253 nucleotides) under uncultured bacterium. RNAcentral describes it as "partial 16S ribosomal RNA". It matches the Rfam family "Bacterial small subunit ribosomal RNA", at positions 524 to 776 of the family's 1533-position model. The record is from RNAcentral.
GACAGAGGGUGCAAACGUUGCUCGGAAUCACUGGGCGUAAAGGGCGCGUAGGCGGGAAUGUAAGUCGGGCGUGAAAUCCCCAGGCUCAACCUGGGAACUGCACUCGAAACUGCGUUUCUUGAGUAUCGGAGAGGAAAGCGGAAUUCCUGGUGUAGAGGUGAAAUUCGUAGAUAUCAGGAGGAACACCAGUGGCGAAGGCGGCUUUCUGGACGGUAACUGACGCUGAGGCGCGAAGGCCAGGGGAGCAAACGGG